Molecule: long non-coding RNA, 349 nt
Filed under: Nicotiana tabacum (common tobacco)
Lineage: Eukaryota; Viridiplantae; Streptophyta; Magnoliopsida; Solanales; Solanaceae
Description: long non-coding RNA (NTAB_LNC006562)
Source: RNAcentral
UAAACUGAACUUUUCCAGCCAGUCAGCAUUAGGGUUUUAAACCCUAAACUGAACUUUUUCCUUUAGUCAGCAUUAGGGUUUUAAACCCUAAACUGAACUUUUCCAGCCAGUCAGUAUUAGGGUUUUAAACCCCAAACUGAACUUUUUCCUUUAGUUAGCAUUAGGGUUUUAAACCCUAAACUGAACUUUUCUUUUCAGUCAGCAUUAGGGUUUUAAACCCUAAACUGAACUUUUUCCUUUAGUCAACAUUAGGGUUUUAAACCCUAAACUGAACUUUUCCAUUCAGUCAGCAUUAGGGUUUUAAACCCUAAGCUGAACUUUUCCAUUCAGUUAGCAUUAGGGUUUUAAA